RNAcentral lists this ribosomal RNA (497 nucleotides) under uncultured bacterium. Its description in RNAcentral is "partial 16S ribosomal RNA". It matches the Rfam family "Bacterial small subunit ribosomal RNA", at positions 28 to 507 of the family's 1533-position model. The record is from RNAcentral.
GAUGAACGCUGGCGGCGUGCCUAAUACAUGCAAGUCGAGCGAACGGACGAGAAGCUUGCUUCUCUGAUGUUAGCGGCGGACGUGUGAGUAACACGUGGAUAACCUACCUAUCAGACUGGUAUAACUUCGGGAAACCGUCUCUAAUACCGUAUAAUAUUUUGAACCGUAUUGUUCAACUGUGAAAGACGUUCUUGCUGUCACUUCUAGAUGGAUCAGCGCUGCAUUAGCUAGUUGGUAAGGUAACGGCUUACCACGGCAACGAUGCAUAGCCGACCUGGGAGAGGGAUAGGCGACACUGGAGCGUAGACACGGUCAAGACGACUAAGAGAGGGAGCAGAAGGGAACCUGAGGCAACGGUGGAAAGCAUGACGGAGCAACCGCGCGUGAGUGACGAAGGUGUUCGGAGAGUAAAAAUGGGUUAUGAGGGAAGAACAUAUGUGUAAGGAAAUGAGCACAACUUGACGGUACCUAAUCAGAAAGCCACGGCUAACUACGUG